This 450-nucleotide ribosomal RNA is filed under the name uncultured bacterium. RNAcentral describes it as "partial 16S ribosomal RNA". It matches the Rfam family "Bacterial small subunit ribosomal RNA", at positions 354 to 796 of the family's 1533-position model. The record is from RNAcentral.
GUGGGGAAUUUUGGACAAUGGGCGCAAGCCUGAUCCAGCAAUGCCGCGUGUGUGAAGAAGGCCUUCGGGUUGUAAAGCACUUUUGGCAGGAAAGAAAUAGUGCGUGCUAAUACCAUGCGCGAAUGACGGUACCUGCAGAAUAAGCACCGGCUAACUACGUGCCAGCAGCCGCGGUAAGACGUAGGGUGCAAGCGUUAAUCGGAAUUACUGGGCGUAAAGCGUGCGCAGGCGGUUUUGUAAGACAGGUGUGAAAUCCCCGGGCUCAACCUGGGAACUGCACUUGUGACUGCAAGGCUAGAGUGUGUCAGAGGGAGGUGGAAUUCCGCGUGUAGCAGUGAAAUGCGUAGAGAUGCGGAGGAACACCGAUGGCGAAGGCAGCCCCCUGGGAUGACACUGACGCUCAUGCACGAAAGCGUGGGGAGCAAACAGGAUUAGAAACCCUUGUAGUCC